RNAcentral lists this ribosomal RNA (403 nucleotides) under Fusobacteriota bacterium. RNAcentral's name for it is "Fusobacteria bacterium partial 16S ribosomal RNA". It matches the Rfam family "Bacterial small subunit ribosomal RNA", at positions 355 to 776 of the family's 1533-position model. The record is from RNAcentral. Lineage: Bacteria; Fusobacteriati; Fusobacteriota.
UGGGGAAUAUUGCACAAUGGAGGGAACUCUGAUGCAGCGACGCCGCGUGAACGAAGAAGGCUUUCGAGUCGUAAAGUUCUUUUAUAUGGGAAGAUAAUGACGGUACCAUAAGAAAAAGCCCCGGCUAACUACGUGCCAGCAGCCGCGGUAAUACGUAGGGGGCUAGCGUUGUCCGGAAUCACUGGGCGUAAAGGGUUCGCAGGCGGAAAUGCAAGUCAGGUGUAAAAGGCAGUAGCUUAACUACUAUAAGCAUUUGAAACUGCAUAUCUUGAGAAGAGUAGAGGUAAGUGAAAUUUUUAGUGUAGCGGUGAAAUGCGUAGAUAUUAAAAAGAAUACCGGUGGCGAAGGCGACUUACUGGGCUCAUUCUGACGCUGAGGAACGAAAGCGUGGGUAGCAAACAGG